This 484-nucleotide ribosomal RNA is filed under the name uncultured bacterium. RNAcentral describes it as "partial 16S ribosomal RNA". It matches the Rfam family "Bacterial small subunit ribosomal RNA", at positions 30 to 507 of the family's 1533-position model. The record is from RNAcentral.
AUUGAACGCUGGCGGCAGGCCUAACACAUGCAAGUCGAGCGGAUGAAGGGAGCUUGCUCCUGGAGUCAGCGGCGGACGGGUGUGUAAUGCCUAGGAAUCUGCCUGGUAGUGGGGGAUAACGUCCGGAAACGGGCGCUAAUACCGCAUACGUCCUGAUGGAGAAAGUGGGGGAUCUUCGGACCUCACGCUAUCUGAUGAGCAUAGGUCGGAUUAGAUAGUUGGUGGGGUAAAGGCCUACCAAGGCGAGGAUCCGUAACUGGUCUGAGAGGAUGAUCAGUCACACUGGAGCUGAGACACGGUCCAGACUCCUAAGAGAGGCAGCAGUGGGGAAUGUUAGACAACAGGCGAGAGCAUGAUCCAGCGAGGGCGCGUCUGAUAAGAAGGUCUUCGGAGUGUAAAGCCCGUUAAGGUGGGAGAAACCGCAGUAAGUUGAUACCUAGCUGUAUUGACGGUACCAACAGAAUAAGCACCGGCUAACUACGUG